Molecule: ribosomal RNA, 509 nt
Filed under: uncultured bacterium
Lineage: Bacteria
Description: partial 16S ribosomal RNA
Rfam family: Bacterial small subunit ribosomal RNA (bases 20-331)
Source: RNAcentral
GACGAACGCUGGCGGCGUGCUUAACACAUGCAAGUCGAACGGAAAGGCCCUGCUUUUGUGGGGUGCUCGAGUGGCGAACGGGUGAGUAACACGUGAGUAACCUGCCCUUGACUUUGGGAUAACUUCAGGAAACUGGGGCUAAUACCGGAUAGGAGCUCCUGCUGCAUGGUGGGGGUUGGAAAGUUUCGGCGGUUGGGGAUGGACUCGCGGCUUAUCAGCUUGUUGGUGGGGUAGUGGCUUACCAAGGCUUUGACGGGUAGCCGGCCUGAGAGGGUGACCGGCGCGAUGGAGACGGUGGGACCGCACGGGCUGCGAGGGGAGGGACGGGGGGGGAGUAGGGCAGGGGGGGCGGGGGCCGGGUGCAGAAGCGCGGGGUGGGGGAGGACGGCCGUGGGGUUGUCAACCGCGUCGCCGUGUGCGGGAGGGGGGGUGAUGGUGAGGGGUAAAGAGGCGCGGGAUAAGUCGGGGCCAGCGGGCGGUAUAAUAGUAGGAGGAGAACGCGUGCGCAC